GCCUACGAGAGUAGGCCGCAGUGAAUAGGCUCAAGCAACUGUUUAUCAAAAACACAGGUCUCUGCUAAAGCGUAAGCUGAUGUAUAGGGGCUGACGCCUGCCCGGUGCUGGAAGGUUAAGGGGAAUAGUUAGCGCAAGCGAAGCUAUGAACUUAAGCCCCAGUAAACGGCGGCCGUAACUAUAACGGUCCUAAGGUAGCGAAAUUCCUUGUCGGGUAAGUUCCGACCCGCACGAAUGGCGUAAUGAUUUGAGCACUGUCUCGGCAAUAAAUCCGGUGAAAUUGUAGUGCAAGUGAAGAUGCUUGCUACCCGCGGUUGGACGGAAAGACCCCGUAGAGCUUUACUGUAGCUUAGCAUUGAAUUUCGGUAUUGUCUGUACAGGAUAGGUGGGAGACUUAGAAGCGAGGGCGUCAGCUUUCGUGGAGUCGUCCUUGGGAUACCACCCUGACAGUACUGGAAUUCUAACUGGAGGCCAUGAAUCUGGUCACAGGACAUUGCUAGGUGGGCAGUUUGACUGGGGCGGUCGCCUCCUAAAAGG
RNAcentral lists this ribosomal RNA (537 nucleotides) under Clostridium haemolyticum NCTC 9693. RNAcentral's name for it is "bacterial LSU rRNA". It matches the Rfam family "Bacterial large subunit ribosomal RNA", at positions 1750 to 2297 of the family's 2925-position model. Lineage: Bacteria; Bacillati; Bacillota; Clostridia; Eubacteriales; Clostridiaceae. The record is from RNAcentral.